RNAcentral lists this ribosomal RNA (256 nucleotides) under uncultured bacterium. RNAcentral describes it as "partial 16S ribosomal RNA". It matches the Rfam family "Bacterial small subunit ribosomal RNA", at positions 524 to 776 of the family's 1533-position model. The record is from RNAcentral.
UACGUAGGGUGCGAGCGUUGUCCGGAAUUAUUGGGCGUAAAGAGCUCGUAGGCGGUCUGUCGCGUCGAUCGUGAAAACUUGGGGCUUAACCCUGAGCUUGCGGUCGAUACGGGCAUGACUGGAGUUCGGCAGGGGAGACUGGAAUUCCUGGUGUAGCGGUGAAAUGCGCAGAUAUCAGGAGGAACACCGGUGGCGAAGGCGGGUCUCUGGGCCGUAACUGACGCUGAGGAGCGAAAGCGUGGGGGAGCGAAACAGG